This 467-nucleotide ribosomal RNA is filed under the name uncultured bacterium. RNAcentral's name for it is "partial 16S ribosomal RNA". It matches the Rfam family "Bacterial small subunit ribosomal RNA", at positions 29 to 507 of the family's 1533-position model. The record is from RNAcentral.
ACGAACGCUGGCGGCGUGCUUAACACAUGCAAGUCGAACGGAAAGGCCCUGCUUUUGUGGGGUGCUCGAGUGGCGAACGGGGGAGUAACACGUGAGUAACCUGCCCUUGACUUUGGGAUAACUUCAGGAAGCUGGGGCUAAUACCGGAUAGGAGCUCCUGCUGCAUGGUGGGGGUUGGAAAGUUUCGGCGGUUGGGGAUGGACUCGCGGCUUAUCAGCUUGUUGGUGGGGUAGUGGCUUACCAAGGCUUUGACGGGUAGCCGGCCUGAGAGGGUGACCGGCAACAUUGGGACUGAGAUACGGCCCAGACUCCUACGGGAGGCAGCAGUGGGGAAUAUUGCACAAUGGGCGGAAGCCUGAUGCAGCAACGCCGCGUGCGGGAUGACGGCCUUCGGGUUGUAAACCGCUUUCGCCUGUGACGAAGCGUGAGUGACGGUAAUGGGUAAAGAAGCACCGGCUAACUACGUG